This 1472-nucleotide ribosomal RNA is filed under the name Triticum aestivum (bread wheat). RNAcentral's name for it is "partial small subunit ribosomal RNA". Lineage: Eukaryota; Viridiplantae; Streptophyta; Magnoliopsida; Poales; Poaceae. The record is from RNAcentral.
CCGUCGGUGGGCGCGUGCUCACGGAGAAAAAGGGUGCAACCAGCGGAGGGUCGGGCACUUGGACAAAGCAAAGGAAGAAUAGAGUGGGGAGUGAGCUCUGGGAUCGUAGUGUUGAGGGAGAGUGCUAUCUUCUUCGCCGCCGCCGCUGCGCUAAGUCGAACCUAAGGCCACGUCGCCUCGCCGAACCUGUCCUCCGUCAGAAAACGUAGAACAAACCUUGAAGAGACGGGAAGACUUCUAAAGAACGAACCUCUCCUCGCAACGCUGUUGUUGGGGCCUCUGAUUCGUUGCCACUAUCGUCGGAGCGCUUCUAUCCUCAAUUGGACCAGUCGACAAGGACACACUUUACCUCAGGGCAUUUGCGACUACUAGGUGUUUGGCGAAGGUGGUAGUUGGUGAUCUUUGGUAAACAACAUGAGUGUCCGGUCUUACCAGAACAUGAUGUAUAAAACAUGAAACGAACUUUAAAGACAUAGUUCAACCACGGAGUAGUCGAUUGUCAAUAGGACCCCGACCACUCGUGUUACCGGUAAAAGACCCUUUAAUUAAUGGGCCUUUUGGCCAGCACUGUCUGAACCAUAGUCUCGGUCUGACUGGUAACUGAUUAGGAUAGAAUCGGUCCAGUUUUUUGGAUCCAAUUGGUUGGGUGGUCUGGGAUUGGUUUUGGAGCCGGUUCGAAGGGCACGUUCUAUUGGUGUGUCACUCGGACUGUGGAAAACCGUCAGCCACGGGUUGGAUAGUUGGAUCGGACAGCUAGUGCGCGAUCACUGGCUGCGGACUCUGCAGAGUAAGUGUUCGCACGCUUCCUUCUGAAACAGGGGAAAAGAUAUUUUUCCUGUGCGAUCGGAGUUGGGUUGUGUCGUGUCGGGAUGGGUUUGGUUCGGUAUUACGAACCGGGGCAGCACGUCUUACCCUGGUGUUGUUGGUUGGAACCUCCGAAACACUGGUAUGAGCGUUUGGAGUGGGCAGCACGGAUACGCAGUCUUCUCGGAGGUCUUAUACAACACAUGGUUCCUGGGUACCCGCCACUUUCGACAGUUAAGACCUGGUGACACGUAUAGAUGCCAUCCCCAGAUAGAGGUCUUGCGGGGAUGUCCAAGUGGCCUUCCUGUUGAAGGAAACUCGGUGUUCGGUAGGUUGAUCGACGAGCUCUCCGACAUCAAGUUGAGGCCGUGAACAGCGGGUCUCAACUGACGGCGAGCAAGAUGAUGAUGGGGUCGGUACUUCCCAUACCAUCCGGUAGGGUCCAACGGUUGCCUCUAGUGCUCUGCCUAGGACGAAACGACGUAGAUCGCGCGAUACAUUCACGCGAUCUCUGUGACAAGCUAGUUUAGUGGGAACUAGACUAGCGUUGUGCACCUCUUGACCAAGUGGCUCGGGGCUGCUCUCCUCUUUUGUUCGGGCCGCGACUGUUAGGUCAGUACGACAAGCCUGUGGGCUAACUCAGGGACUCCAGACGGGGUCAGUGGCUG